UUUCUUCUUCUCUGUCUCCUUCCUCCUCAUUCAUUUCAAAAGCAUCAAUUAACCAAACAAAGUAACCUUUCCUCUUGUACCCACUCUCAUGUAGGUUUCCUCUUACAAAGGUCAUAACUCGCUACUCUUAACUCACCGUGACUCGUCCCUAAUGGCUAGUAACAACAACAACCCUCAUGAGAAUCUUUCCGACCAAACACCUUCCGAUGACUUCUUCGAGCAAAUCCUCGGCCUCCCUAACUUCUCAGCCUCUUCAUCCGACGGUGGGUUAGGCGGAGGAGGAGGAGGAGCACCGCCGAUGAUGCUCCAGCUGGGCUCCGGCGAGGAAGUAGGCCACAUGGGUGGUGGGCUAGGAGGAAGUGGUGGGUUUCACAACCAGAUGUUUCCUCUAGGGUUGAGUCUUGAACAAGGCAAAGGACAAGGCUUUCUUAGACCCGAAGGUGGUAGUCUUGGAACUGGGAAACGUUUCUCUGAUGACGUCAUGAAACCUGUUUUUCAUGGGCAGCCAAUGCAACAACAGCCAGCACCAGCGGCGCCGCAUCAGCCUACUUCGAUCCGUCCUAGGGUUCGAGCUAGGCGUGGUCAGGCUACUGACCCACAUAGCAUAGCUGAAAGGCUUCGUAGAGAAAGAAUAGCUGAACGGAUCAGGGCGCUGCAAGAGCUUGUGCCUACUGUUAACAAGACAGAUAGAGCUGCUAUGAUUGAUGAGAUUGUGGACUAUGUAAAGUUUCUCAGGCUCCAAGUUAAGGUUUUGAGCAUGAGUCGUCUUGGUGGAGCCGGUGCAGUUGCUCCACUUGUUACUGAUAUGCCUUUGUCAUCAACAGUUGAGGAUGAAUCUGGUGAAGGUGGAAGGGCACCACAACCCGCGUGGGAGAAAUGGUCUAACGAUGGCACAGAACGUCAAGUGGCUAAACUGAUGGAAGAGAAUGUUGGAGCAGCGAUGCAGCUUCUUCAAUCUAAGGCGCUUUGUAUGAUGCCAAUCUCAUUAGCUAUGGCUAUUUACCAUUCUCAGCCUCCAGAUACAUCUUCUGUGGUUAAGCCUGAGACUAAUCCUCCUCCACCUUAGGAUUUUUUAGUGCAUGUGAGGGUUUGUACAGCAAUCCAACAUGGCUUUUUUGCUUUCUACUACUGAUAAGGGCUCUGUUGUCUUGCUGUUUCAUUUCCCUGACAGUCACUUGUUUGGUUUGAUUGAAAGGUGGACUUUGAUGAAAGCAACUUUAUGUUUUCCUGACUUUAGUGGGAGGUUGAGGAAGGGGUAUUUUAGUAGUAGUAGUAGUGAGUGUGUGGGACCUGAAGAAAAAUAAAGUAUUUGAAUAUUUUAACCGUUGUAUUAUUAUUUAUUGUAUGAUUUGGAGUGGUAUAAAUAACCAAAUGAUGUUGUUAGUCUU
Brassica napus (rape) is the source of this 1388-nucleotide RNA transcript. It is a transcript of the gene named transcription factor UNE12, with no coding region annotated. Lineage: Eukaryota; Viridiplantae; Streptophyta; Magnoliopsida; Brassicales; Brassicaceae. The record is from RefSeq and is a predicted model, not a curated record. The transcript has 7 exons.